GGCAGCUUGCUGCCGGGGUGAGAGUGGCGAACGGGUGAGUAAUGCGUGACCGACCUGCCCCAUGCACCGGAAUAGCUCCUGGAAACGGGUGGUAAUGCCGGAUGUUCCACAUGAGCGCAUGCGAGUGUGGGAAAGGCUUUUUGCGGCAUGGGAUGGGGUCGCGUCCUAUCAGCUUGUUGGUGGGGUAACGGCCUACCAAGGCGUUGACGGGUAGCCGGCCUGAGAGGGCGACCGGCCACAUUGGGACUGAGAUACGGCCCAGACUCCUACGGGAGGCAGCAGUGGGGAAUAUUGCACAAUGGGCGCAAGCCUGAUGCAGCGACGCCGCGUGCGGGAUGGAGGCCUUCGGGUUGUAAACCGCUUUUGUUCAAGGGCAAGGCACGGUUUCGGCCGUGUUGAGUGGAUUGUUCGAAUAAGCACCGGCUAACUACGUGCCAGCAGCCGCGGUAAUACGUAGGGUGCAAGCGUUAUCCGGAUUUAUUGGGCGUAAAGGGCUCGUAGGCGGUUCGUCGCGUCCGGUGUGAAAGUCCAUCGCUUAACGGUGGAUCCGCGCCGGGUACGGGCGGGCUUGAGUGCGGUAGGGGAGACUGGAAUUCCCGGUGUAACGGUGGAAUGUGUAGAUAUCGGGAAGAACACCAAUGGCGAAGGCAGGUCUCUGGGCCGUUACUGACGCUGAGGAGCGAAAGCGUGGGGAGCGAACAGGAUUAGAUACCCUGGUAGUCCACGCCGUACACGGUGGAUGCUGGAUGUGGGGCCCUUUU
This 761-nucleotide ribosomal RNA is filed under the name Bifidobacterium pseudolongum. RNAcentral describes it as "bacterial SSU rRNA". It matches the Rfam family "Bacterial small subunit ribosomal RNA", at positions 74 to 834 of the family's 1533-position model. The record is from RNAcentral. Lineage: Bacteria; Bacillati; Actinomycetota; Actinomycetes; Bifidobacteriales; Bifidobacteriaceae.